UACAUUCACUACUGUAAGUCGCUCUGGAUAAGAGCGUCUGCUAAAUGACUCAAA
Non-coding RNA from Salmo salar (Atlantic salmon), 54 nucleotides. NCBI's taxonomy places the organism in Eukaryota, Metazoa, Chordata, Actinopteri, Salmoniformes, Salmonidae. The record is from Rfam.